GAGAGUUUGAUCCUGGCUCAGGAUGAACGCUAGCGAUAGGCCUAACACAUGCAAGUCGAGGGGCAUCACAUGACGUAGCAAUACAGAUGGUGGCGACCGGCGCACGGGUGAGUAACACGUAUGCAACCUACCUUCCACAGGAGGAUAACCCGUUGAAAGACGGGCUAAUACUCCAUAACACAGGGGUCCCGCAUGGGAAUAUUUGUUAAAGAUUUUUUCGGUAGAAGAUGGGCAUGCGUUCCAUUAGCUAGUUGGUUGAGGUAACGGCUCACCAAGGCAACGAUGGAUAGGGGAACUGAGAGGUUUAUCCCCCACACUGGUACUGAGACACGGACCAGACUCCUACGGGAGGCAGCAGUGAGGAAUAUUGGUCAAUGGAGGCAACUCUGAACCAGCCACGUCGCGUGAAGGAUGACGGCCCUACGGGUUGUAAACUUCUUUUAUACAGGAAUAAAGUGAGUCACGUGUGAUUUUUUGCAUGUACUGUAUGAAUAAGGAUCGGCUAACUCC
This 510-nucleotide ribosomal RNA is filed under the name swine manure pit bacterium PPC87. RNAcentral's name for it is "bacterial SSU rRNA". It matches the Rfam family "Bacterial small subunit ribosomal RNA", at positions 7 to 504 of the family's 1533-position model. The record is from RNAcentral.